GUUCAUAGAAUUCAAAUUUGUUGGCCACUUUUUUUUUAGCUAACAAAUGGAUAUACCUGAAAUAUUGAUAUUUGUAGACAACCCCCAAAUAACUAAUAAUAUAUUAAAAAGGGAUUUUAUUUUGAGAGUGCACACAAAGACAAGUAGACCUGAAUUUGAUAGGAGUGAAUUUUCUGUUUAUCGUCAUUACAACGAUUUCAUUUUAUUAAGGGAAACAUUUAUUCAAAAAUUUCCAUGUUUAAUUUUACCACCAUUAAUGGAAAAUAAUGUGAUUUUGCUUCUCAAUAUGAUACAUGAUGUUAAAGCCUCUGAAUGGAUGAAACAGAGAUUGUACUGUUUAAAUUUUUUCUUAAAGGCUCUUUCAACACAUCCUUUGUUAUACAAAGA
Long non-coding RNA from Gordionus sp. m RMFG-2023, 387 nucleotides. RefSeq lists it as uncharacterized. NCBI's taxonomy places the organism in Eukaryota, Metazoa, Nematomorpha, Gordioida, Chordodea, Parachordodidae. The record is from RefSeq and is a predicted model, not a curated record. The transcript is spliced from 3 exons.